RNAcentral lists this unclassified non-coding RNA (349 nucleotides) under Bombus terrestris (buff-tailed bumblebee). Its description in RNAcentral is "misc RNA ENSBTSG00005032730.1". The record is from RNAcentral. Lineage: Eukaryota; Metazoa; Arthropoda; Insecta; Hymenoptera; Apidae.
UACACGAACGCAUCCAUAAUUUCUCGUGAAGGUUCUGCAAACAUAAGUAUCUGUCUUUCCAAAACCACACCCGGUGUUGCUAACUGUGAUAUAACUAAGAAAAAAUUGUAACGCUGAUAAAACUCGAAUAAAAACAUCCCAACGUGUGCUUUAUCUUCAAAUUCUUUUCGGAAGUCUUCGAAAGCGACACGCACGAGCCAGUGACGGUGAUCAAAGUGUGUCACUUGCACUUGCCGCGCGGUCCACGGAGAAGAGAGAAAACCUGCACACACCACCGACGCCGAUCGUCGCCGUAGAAGUAGGUCGAGAAGAAAUAGCCGCGAUGCGUGCGAAUCCACGCAAACGAAAC